This 521-nucleotide long non-coding RNA is filed under the name Homo sapiens (human). RNAcentral describes it as "non-protein coding lnc-JAM3-7:1". Lineage: Eukaryota; Metazoa; Chordata; Mammalia; Primates; Hominidae. The record is from RNAcentral.
AAUAGAGAACAGCAAGGAGACCGUUGCAAUAAUCCAGGUAUGAAUUGAAAGCUGGAGGUAAGGUGGUAGAGGCAGAAACAAUAAGAAUGUAACAGAUAUGAAACAUGUUAAAAAACAAUAGGACUUGAGGACCUCAGGUGAUGAAGGAGCGAGAGAAGAAGGUUGGGAAAAUAGGACUUGGGAAGUAGGAUAAACACAGGGAGUCGCUGAGGGUCAGAGAGGAUAAAGCUGGUAAGCGGGAGGUGAGCUGUGAACCCGGACACUGAAUUGCCAAGCAUUUGUUGAACACUUCAUUGGACACAAAGGACAGUACUUGGCACCUAGUUGGGAAGAUAAAAUAUAUACAUAUGAAAACAACUGGAACACAAACUACAUAUGGAACAGAUGAACAAAUGGAAAAUGCCGUGGUGUAAAUGCUAUAUAAAAAUACCAGAAUUGCGUUUGUAAAGGGAGGAAAGUAAGGUUCAGCAACUUUUCCUGCAUUUAAGAAUAAAAGAAUCAAUUGGAAAAAAUUUGAACAC